AUUCCCUCCCUCACUGCUCCACUCAGUCCUCUCCUCAUGGUGACAUAUCAACACUACUCAACCCAUAUAUCCCCUCCACCACUCCAGUCAGCCUUAUAUCAGCAUUAAAAACUUAAAGAAAGACAUAAAGUAAAAAAUAUAUUAUCUUCGAUCGAGUUUCAAAGAAACAAUUGGUAUGUUUUGAGGGAUUAAUUUGCAAUCACAUCAGAUUUAUUUAUAACUAGACAGAGACGGAGCUUUGUUUAGGAAGAUACAUACAUUUGCUCUAGAAAUCUUAAGUCAAAGAAAUCAAUUUGGGCAUAUAGUUUAACCAAUCUUUGAUAUACGAUGCUUGGAAUUUCUACUUGCAGAUGUAAACGAAACACGAUACACAUGAGAAUGGUAACACACAUUUAUGACUGUUUCUGUAUUCGUGCUACUCGUUUUGAUCUCCUUUGUUAGUUUUUUAUCAUACUGUGGUGCAUAAGCAUUGAAUGAAAUACAUAUGUAGGAGUUAAGGCUUAGCUGUACUCAUGAAGGCUAGUUACAUGUCAUUGCAGAUUUAUUUAUAACUAGACAGAGACGGAGCUUUGUUUAGGAAGAUACAUACAUUUGCUCUAGAAAUCUUAAGUCAAAGAAAUCAAUUUGGGCAUAUAGUUUAACCAAUCUUUGAUAUACGAUGCUUGGAAUUUCUACUUGCAGAUGUAAACGAAACACGAUACACAUGAGAAUGGUAACACACAUUUAUGACUGUUUCUGUAUUCGUGCUACUCGUUUUGAUCUCCUUUGUUAGUUUUUUAUCAUACUGUGGUGCAUAAGCAUUGAAUGAAAUACAUAUGUAGGAGUUAAGGCUUAGCUGUACUCAUGAAGGCUAGUUACAUGUCAUUGCAGAUUUAUUUAUAACUAGACAGAGACGGAGCUUUGUUUAGGAAGAUACAUACAUUUGCUCUAAAAAUUACUAUUAUACUUUUCUGACCACUCGUAUCGAUACCUUUGCUAUGGCCUACAGAUAUUCAUGCCCACGACGCGUGUGAAAAAAGUCCCAAGUGAGAAUGGGGUGUCAAUGAAUUGAACUUACUCUAUUAUCUUUCUAAAGACUUGAGAGACAUCGAGCACCAUCUUUGUUUGGCUGUACUGACAAGAAUGAGUAAUUUGUUUCAUGUCUACUUAAUUUUAUCUUGUAUCUACAAAUUUUUGGAUGUUGACUUGCAUGUUGAGAUUGUUAAUAACUUGGAAAGUUUAUAGUUGAUAGAUUGGAUCAAACCUUUUCAAUUUUAGAUUUCUGACA
This is a long non-coding RNA of Papaver somniferum (opium poppy), 1267 nucleotides long. RefSeq lists it as uncharacterized. The record is from RefSeq and is a predicted model, not a curated record. The transcript is spliced from 4 exons. NCBI's taxonomy places the organism in Eukaryota, Viridiplantae, Streptophyta, Magnoliopsida, Ranunculales, Papaveraceae.